AGAGUUUGAUCCUGGCUCAGGAUGAACGCUGGCGGCGUGCCUAAUACAUGCAAGUCGAGCGAACGGACGAGAAGCUUGCUUCUCUGAUGUUAGCGGCGGACGGGUGAGUAACACGUGGAUAACCUACCUAUAAGACUGGGAUAACUUCGGGAAACCGGAGCUAAUACCGGAUAAUAUUUUGAACCGCAUGGUUCAAAAGUGAAAGACGGUCUUGCUGUCACUUAUAGAUGGAUCCGCGCUGCAUUAGCUAGUUGGUAAGGUAACGGCUUACCAAGGCAACGAUGCAUAGCCGACCUGAGAGGGUGAUCGGCCACACUGGAACUGAGACACGGUCCAGACUCCUACGGGAGGCAGCAGUAGGGAAUCUUCCGCAAUGGGCGAAAGCCUGACGGAGCAACGCCGCGUGAGUGAUGAAGGUCUUCGGAUCGUAAAACUCUGUUAUUAGGGAAGAACAUAUGUGUAAGUAACUGUGCACAUCUUGACGGUACCUAAUCAGAAAGCCACGGCUAACUACGUGCCAGCAGCCGCGGUAAUACGUAGGUGGCAAGCGUUAUCCGGAAUUAUUGGGCGUAAAGCGCGCGUAGGCGGUUUUUUAAGUCUGAUGUGAAAGCCCACGGCUCAACCGUGGAGGGUCAUUGGAAACUGGAAAACUUGAGUGCAGAAGAGGAAAGUGGAAUUCCAUGUGUAGCGGUGAAAUGCGCAGAGAUAUGGAGGAACACCAGUGGCGAAGGCGACUUUCUGGUCUGUAACUGACGCUGAUGUGCGAAAGCGUGGGGAUCAAACAGGAUUAGAUACCCUGGUAGUCCACGCCGUAAACGAUGAGUGCUAAGUGUUAGGGGGUUUCCGCCCCUUAGUGCUGC
Molecule: ribosomal RNA, 860 nt
Filed under: Staphylococcus aureus M80329
Lineage: Bacteria; Bacillati; Bacillota; Bacilli; Caryophanales; Staphylococcaceae
Description: bacterial SSU rRNA
Rfam family: Bacterial small subunit ribosomal RNA
Source: RNAcentral